Non-coding RNA from Rattus norvegicus (Norway rat), 69 nucleotides. Lineage: Eukaryota; Metazoa; Chordata; Mammalia; Rodentia; Muridae. The record is from Rfam.
GGGGAUUUAGCUCAGCGGUAGAGCGCUUGCCUAGCAAGCGAAAGGCCCUGGGUUCGGUCCCCAGCUCCG